UGGUUCCCACGCCGGGAAUCGAACCCGGUUCUCUUGGGUGAGAGCCAGGUAUCCUAACCAUGUGGACAUUGAGAC
This is a non-coding RNA of Cordylochernes scorpioides, 75 nucleotides long. The record is from the annotation of a GenBank genome assembly. Lineage: Eukaryota; Metazoa; Arthropoda; Arachnida; Pseudoscorpiones; Chernetidae.